CUUGUUCAUGGAACAAGUUGAUAGGAUCCGCAACGGGCGAAAGCCUGAUGGAGCAAUGCCACAUGGGAGGUAGAAGGCCCAGGGGUCAUUAACUUCUUUUCCUGGAGAAGCAAUGACGGUAUCCAAGGAAAAGGCAUCAACUAACUUUGUGCUAGCAGCUGCAGUAAGACAGAGGAUGCAAG
Molecule: non-coding RNA, 182 nt
Filed under: Amborella trichopoda
Lineage: Eukaryota; Viridiplantae; Streptophyta; Magnoliopsida; Amborellales; Amborellaceae
Description: Bacterial small subunit ribosomal RNA
Rfam family: Bacterial small subunit ribosomal RNA
Source: Rfam by way of RNAcentral